GGACGCCGCGUCCCGAGCGGCCGGCGGCCGGAGCUCGCCCCCGCCCCUCCCUCCUCUCCUCCGGCGGCGGCGGCGGCGGCGGCGGGCGGAGUGAGCUGCGGAGCCUGGAAUAUGGUCGGGGAAAUGGAAACGAAGGAGAAGCCGAAGCCCACCCCAGAUUACUUGAUGCAGCUGAUGAACGACAAGAAGCUCAUGAGCAGCCUGCCCAACUUCUGCGGGAUCUUCAACCACCUCGAGCGGCUGCUGGACGAAGAAAUUAGCAGAGUACGGAAAGACAUGUACAAUGACACAUUAAAUGGCAGUACAGAGAAAAGGAGUGCAGAAUUGCCUGAUGCCGUGGGACCUAUUGUUCAGUUACAAGAGAAACUUUAUGUGCCUGUAAAAGAAUACCCAGAUUUUAAUUUUGUUGGGAGAAUCCUUGGACCUAGAGGACUUACAGCUAAACAACUUGAAGCAGAAACAGGAUGUAAAAUCAUGGUCCGAGGCAAAGGCUCCAUGAGGGAUAAAAAGAAGGAGGAGCAAAACAGAGGCAAGCCCAAUUGGGAGCAUCUAAAUGAAGAUUUACAUGUACUAAUCACUGUGGAAGAUGCUCAGAACAGAGCAGAGAUCAAGCUGAAGAGAGCAGUUGAAGAAGUGAAGAAGUUACUGGUACCUGCAGCCGAAGGAGAAGACAGCCUGAAGAAGAUGCAGCUGAUGGAGCUUGCAAUUCUGAAUGGCACCUAUAGAGAUGCCAACAUUAAAUCACCAGCCCUUGCCUUUUCUCUUGCAGCAACUGCCCAGGCUGCUCCAAGGAUCAUCACUGGGCCUGCGCCUGUCCUCCCACCAGCUGCUCUGCGUACACCUACGCCAGCUGGUCCUACCAUAAUGCCUUUGAUCAGACAAAUACAGACCGCUGUCAUGCCAAACGGAACUCCUCACCCAACUGCUGCAAUAGUCCCUCCGGGGCCUGAAGCUGGGUUAAUCUACACACCCUAUGAAUACCCCUACACGUUGGCACCAGCUACAUCAAUCCUUGAGUACCCUAUUGAACCCAGUGGUGUGUUAGGUAUGGCUUUCCCAACGAAAGGCUAAGAAUUCAAGAACGGUCUUAACCGAACCCUCAUCAGAUCUGAAUUUAACCAAUGCUUAGUCUCAGCAGCCUCCGGGGAAAAGCUUAGCCUAGCAGUCAGUGACUUACUUGCACUUUUGCACAUAGAUAUAAAGUAAAAUGAUGUUAUUAAUUUGGAUUAGUCUGUAAUACUGCAAAGCAAUGGUAAUUUAUAAAAGGAGUGUAUAGUAGUAUACUGACUGCUAAGUGUACUGUACUGUUUGCUUUACUAAUCACCUAAUUCAUUGCAGUUCAUACUUAUUGACUCAAAAGUUUAAAACCACAAUCUGUAGGCUUUAAGAGUUGCUUUUUAAACCUUUUUUAAGUGAUAAACUCUGAAAGUUAAGGUUAGCAAAUACUUGUCAGUAUUAAAUGUGGCAUUAUUUAAGUAGUCCUGCUGCAAGAAAGGCACUUCAGUGAAUAUGUGACUAGUAAAGCUCAGCUACGUCUGGUUCUAAUAGAGCUCAUGAGACACUGUGACUUGGGGACUGUAAAUGAAGGGAUGAAGUAGGUGGAAGGCCAACCUGUUUGAAAUGAAUGCAAUAUUGAUAGAUGCAUAUAUACAUGGCAUACUACAGUUAAUUUUAAAACUACUGUGCCUUAACGUGUUUCUUAAGCUUUUGUAGUAAGUGAACAUUUGAGAUCCAUUUUGAUAAACCUGCUGUCGAUGUUUCCCUUAUGUAUGUUUUCUAACUUUGUCUUGGUAAUUGCAAUUUAACUAGGUGCGGUGGCUACUAAAGUUCGAAGGCACGAUAUGCGUGUCCAUCCUUACCAAAGGAUUGUGACCGCAGACCGAGCCGCCACCGGCAACUAACCUAUGACCUUCUGACCUCUGAACUCUUCACCCAAUGAUGACCUGACCAUGCCUGCCUGCUGAUCAGUUAACUGGUAAUCGCCUUUGCUUGCCUGUCGUCAGUGCAGCGAGCUGAGGCACUUGUCCGUUCGUCUUACCAUCUAACCAAACAAAAGACAAAGAAAUUGUCCUCCAACUCAGCUUCCCCCCCACCCCCUCUGUUUGGGUGAAAGUGGUUCUAGAACCUGCACUGAAUAGUAGUAAAGCAAUAAGGCCCGAUUCAUCCCACAGCACUGAUCAUCUUUCAAUGCCCCACCCCAAGCGAACGGUAAGAAGGCCUCUCUUAAGAAGGGGAGACAGAUGGCCCUAACUACUCAGUGACAGAGGCAGUUACUGUGAGAGACUUGUAGGAAUCUUUUUCUUCUCCUAGCGAAGUCACAGCUCUCUCUGAAUGUACUGUGUGACAAUGCAUCAUGCAUGAACCUUCGGUCAGGGAUGUCAUUGGUGAAGUGACUUCACAAGUAUUCAAAAUUUGACAUGCUCUUUGUUUAGUCACUACAGUGCCCUCAAAGGGCAGAAAUCGCAGCCUUUUAUAUUGCCUGCCAAAAUUUGAAGUAUUAGAACAAAGUGUGCCAUGAGAGAAAAACUUAACAAGGAGUUUUGAAAAGUAAUGCAAAGAACAAAACUGCAACACUAUUUUUAAAAAGUUGAGUAUCUGAGUUAAAAUUUCCAAAUCUUUAUUUUACACCACCUUAAAAAUUAUACGAGAACAAGGUACAUGCAUUAUGUGUCACAUUACUGGGCAAACUGUUCAAAUAUUUUUUUUAAACCUCCCUGUAUAGAAAAUAUCAUUAAGGAUGUAAAAGCCAUGCUUGCCUAUUUGCUGUAUACAUGUAAUGAAAUUGUAGAUAAAGUGUAGUGCAUUGAAACAAAUGAACAAAAAGUAGAUACUUUUACUAUACAAGGGUGCUGGUGCAGAAAAAAUAUAUAUAUUUUUGGAAAUGUAGCAUUUUAUACUUUCAAGUGUUAUAAAAAAAAAAAGAAAAAGAA
This is an RNA transcript of Peromyscus eremicus (cactus mouse), 2930 nucleotides long. It is a transcript of the gene named QKI, KH domain containing RNA binding, with no coding region annotated. The transcript is spliced from 8 exons. NCBI's taxonomy places the organism in Eukaryota, Metazoa, Chordata, Mammalia, Rodentia, Cricetidae. The record is from RefSeq and is a predicted model, not a curated record.